Tephrocybe rancida is the source of this 96-nucleotide non-coding RNA. NCBI's taxonomy places the organism in Eukaryota, Fungi, Basidiomycota, Agaricomycetes, Agaricales, Lyophyllaceae. The record is from the annotation of a GenBank genome assembly.
UCUUUGCUAGUAUAUCGGUUAGUACACGCGCCUGUCAUUGAUGGCUUCAUUGUAAAAUGAUCGCGCGAAAGCUGGGUUCGACUCCCAGGCAGAGAG